AUCAUGGCUCAGGAUGAACGCUAGCGGCAGGCUUAACACAUGCAAGUCGAGGGGCAGCGGGUAUGUUAGCAAUAACAUAUGCCGGCGACCGGCGCAAGGGUGCGUAACGCGUGAGUAACAUGCCCGUAUCAGGAGGAUAACCCGGAGAAAUCCGGACUAAUACUGCAUAAUAUUUUCAGAUGGCAUCGUUUGGGAAUUAAAGUUUCGACGGAUACGGAUUGGCUCGCGUGACAUUAGAUAGUUGGCGGGGUAACGGCCACCAAGUCCACGAUGUCUAGGGGUUCUGAGAGGAAGGUCCCCCACACUGGAACUGAGACACGGUCCAAACUCCUACGGGAGGCAGCAGUGAGGAAUAUUGGUCAAUGGGCGAAAGCCUGAACCAGCCAAGUCGCGUGAAGGAUGAAGGUUCUAUGGAUUGUAAACUUCUUUUGUCUGAGGGUAAAAAGCGGACGUGUCCGUUCUUGCAAGUAUCAGACGAAUAAGCAUCGGCUAACUCCGUG
This 500-nucleotide ribosomal RNA is filed under the name uncultured bacterium. Its description in RNAcentral is "bacterial SSU rRNA". It matches the Rfam family "Bacterial small subunit ribosomal RNA", at positions 16 to 507 of the family's 1533-position model. The record is from RNAcentral.